Long non-coding RNA from Nothobranchius furzeri (turquoise killifish), 1812 nucleotides. The record is from Ensembl. NCBI's taxonomy places the organism in Eukaryota, Metazoa, Chordata, Actinopteri, Cyprinodontiformes, Nothobranchiidae.
AUGAAACAUCCUCCAGAGGUGCUGACACUGCUGCUGAAAAGAUUUAAGUUUGAUUACCAUGUCAAGAAAUGUGUUAAAAUUCAAAGCAAAGUACAAAUUCCCAGUAGCCUCCAGAUACCACCUAAUGAGAUUCAGAGUCUGACCUAUGAGCUUUAUGCCUAUGUGGAUCACUUUGGUGAGCUGAGACAUGGACAUUACACUGUCACAAUCAAGUCCCAGGAAGACAAGAAGUGGUACCACUUUGAUGACACCCUCGUCAAAUUGGGGGAUUUCCAAGAACAAUCUCAAAAUGUUUAUCUGGCGUUCUACAGAAAAGCUUCUGCUAUGGAUGCCCCAGCAGAAAACGUCUCUGAAGUGCCAACUUUGAAAGCUGGCCAGCAAAAUAUGAGUGAAAACAAUGUGAAGUGGGAUUGUGGUGCACAGCCCAAAGCACAGAAGGAUGUGCAGAAGGCAGAGGAGAAUAAAGGGGAAGUGGGAAACGGGUUAGCUGUCCCAUUGAGCAAAGAUAACAGCGGGAUUAGAGCUGAUAAUGACAGUGGAGGGUCAGUGAGUCAUGAGAAGUCUCACAGUCGACAAGAUUUGUCAAAAAACAACCAACACUUACCUGUUCAGGUUCUAAAUGAUUCAAAACCAGAAACUGGUGGACACAGCAGCUUUAAACAAGAAGGCAUACCAAAACAAAAUGGCCUUGAACCAACUCGGAGCAAUAAACAAAUUACAAAUCAACAUAAUAGAGUUGGUGGGAAUCAACAGCACCAUCAAGGUUUUCAGUCAAACAGCAAACGUGAUGAGGAUGCCACAAUAAGUAGCAGUCAGCCGCAAAAGUCUUCUAUGAAAAACAGCAAGAAAGAGAAAAGGAGCGAUUGUAAAAGCAGUCGAACCACAGAAAGGCCAGAAAACCCGUGUGGUGAGAGUAACGCGGGUCAGGACUCUCAGCACUUUAACAAUGUUCCUCAAAACAAGGUUAAGCAAAAUUUGCUGAAGAUUAAUAAAUGUGAACAAGCUGUAUCUAAAAGAUGUGAGCAACAAAAAGCGGAUAAAAGAAAAGUUCCAAAUGAAAACAGAACAGAUGAUGAACAUCUGAAAAAGGGUGAACCAUCCGUAAAACGGAAAUGUAAUCUUUUAGGACAGUCAGAUAUUUCCCUCACAAUUCAAAGUUCACAGUUAAAAAGCAGUAGUAAUACCGUUCCUUGGACUAAAGAGGCUAAAAUGCACAUUCUUCAGACUAACUGGCUCAAUAAAAGUGAAGAGGAGCUUCAAAGGAGCAAGCAAAAUGUUGGAAUGGGGAGCGAAAGAGAGAACGAAGAACCCAAUCCACAUUUUUACACAGGGUCGAAUGAGGAGCAAAAAGGAAACGAGUGUUAUAAGAAUGAUGACAAACAUGAGCAAAAGUUAGAAAAUCCCUGCUGUACAGGUGGAACGAUCCAAAAAACUGUUCAACUUGAAAUGGAAACCAACAGACCACAGAGUGAGCUGGGCCGAGAAAAGCACAUGACUUUGACUCAAGGAACAGAAGUAACUUUAAAGUCCGAAGCACAGUCCGAUCCAAAUAUAGAUGAGGUUCAGUCAAUGUUCAGCAAACUAACUGUGAAAGAUUCAUCAGAGCUAGAGGGAUACGGUGCUGACAACACUGGUGGAAACAAAGACCGUUGUUCUGGGAAACCUGGUUUAACAGAGACACAUCUGGAGAAAAUGACGCGAGACUCGGUGAAGGCAGGUGACAAAAAAGAGGGGUCUGGUGGAAAAAAGAGAACAAACAAAAUGAAGGGAACGGUUUUUAUGGUGGCAGGUCUUAAUGUGCCAAAAAGAUAA